CAGCAGCCGCGGUAACACGGAGGGUGCAAGCGUUAUCCGGAUUUAUUGGGUUUAAAGGGUCCGUAGGCGGACUUAUAAGUCAGUGGUGAAAGCCUGUCGCUUAACGAUAGAACUGCCAUUGAUACUGUAAGUCUUGAGUAUAUUUGAGGUAGCUGGAAUAAGUAGUGUAGCGGUGAAAUGCAUAGAUAUUACUUAGAACACCAAUUGCGAAGGCAGGUUACCAAGAUAUAACUGACGCUGAGGGACGAAAGCGUGGGUAGCGAACAGGAUUAGAUACCCCGGUAGUCCCUGUCUCUUAUAC
This 301-nucleotide ribosomal RNA is filed under the name uncultured bacterium. RNAcentral's name for it is "partial 16S ribosomal RNA". It matches the Rfam family "Bacterial small subunit ribosomal RNA", at positions 509 to 807 of the family's 1533-position model. The record is from RNAcentral.